Molecule: ribosomal RNA, 119 nt
Filed under: uncultured bacterium
Lineage: Bacteria
Description: partial 16S ribosomal RNA
Rfam family: Bacterial small subunit ribosomal RNA
Source: RNAcentral
GUACACACCGCCCGUCCACACCAUGGGAGCCGGGAAUGCCCGAAGUCGGUGACCCAACCGUAAGGAGGGAGCCGCCGAAGGCAGGCCUGGUAACUGGGGUGAAGUCGUAACAAGGUACC